Molecule: long non-coding RNA, 359 nt
Organism: Hordeum vulgare subsp. vulgare (domesticated barley)
Lineage: Eukaryota; Viridiplantae; Streptophyta; Magnoliopsida; Poales; Poaceae
Exons: 2
Source: RefSeq, a predicted model, not a curated record
GUAACAUAAAGUUCUUCAUAUUAACAUAAAGUUCUUCAUAUCAGUAACAUGAAGUUCUUUCUAUCCGCAGCGCCUUGGAACAUGGGGUGAGUCUAAAGCUGCUUCGCAGCGCACUGGAUUCAAGCCAAGAUGCUAUCAUGGACGUGGUAACGGAGCAAAUAAUGAUUGGUGAGAUCUACACUACUAUUGAUGAUUGCCAUUUCAAAUCUUCAAGAGUUUAACUAGUGAAAGAUCAUGACGUCGAUUAAAAUGUAUCGUCCUAAUCGGAUGCUAUUAUUUUUUGAACUAAUUGAGUGACUUUGUCACUUGUAAGACUGUGCUAUUUCCUAUGCAUUUUUUCUACCCAGUUUACCUGCUUA